AACGAACGCUGGCGGCAUGCCUAACACAUGCAAGUCGAACGAGACCUUCGGGUCUAGUGGCGCACGGGUGCGUAACGCGUGGGAACCUGCCCUUAGGUUCGGAAUAACUCCCCGAAAGGGGUGCUAAUACCGGAUAAUGUCUUCGGACCAAAGAUUUAUCGCCUUUGGAUGGGCCCGCGUUGGAUUAGCUAGUUGGUAGGGUAAAAGCCUACCAAGGCGACGAUCCAUAGCUGGUCUGAGAGGAUGAUCAGCCACACUGGGACUGAGACACGGCCCAGACUCCUGCGAGAGGAAGAAAUGGGGAAUGGAGAAAGAUGGGCGAAGGAUUGAGCCAGCAAUGCCGCGUGAGUAAUGAAGGCAUUAGGGUUGUAAAGCUCUUGUAACAGCGCUGAUAAUGACGGUGCCGGGAGAAUAAGCUACGGCUAACUCCGUG
RNAcentral lists this ribosomal RNA (433 nucleotides) under uncultured bacterium. RNAcentral's name for it is "partial 16S ribosomal RNA". It matches the Rfam family "Bacterial small subunit ribosomal RNA", at positions 29 to 507 of the family's 1533-position model. The record is from RNAcentral.